GUCGAGAAUUUUGGGCAAUGGACGAAAGUCUGACCCAGCAAUGUCGCGUGCGGGAUGAAGGUCUUCGGAUUGUAAACCGCUGUCGAGGGGGACGAAAAAUGACGGUACCCCUGGAGGAAGCCACGGCUAACUACGUGCCAGCAGCCGCGGUAAUACGUAGGUGGCGAGCGUUGUUCGGAUUUAUUGGGCGUAAAGGGUCCGCAGGGGGUUGAUUAAGUCUGACGUGAAAUCUCUGAGCUCAACUCAGAAAUUGCGUUGGAGACUGGUUGGCUAGAGUGUUGGAGAGGUAAUUGGAAUUCCAGGUGUAGCGGUGGAAUGCGUAGAUAUCUGGAAGAACAUCGAAAGCGAAGGCAGAUUACUGGACAACAACUGACCCUCAGGGACGAAAGCAUGGGGAGCAAACAGGAUUAGAUACCCCUGUAGUCC
RNAcentral lists this ribosomal RNA (426 nucleotides) under uncultured bacterium. Its description in RNAcentral is "partial 16S ribosomal RNA". It matches the Rfam family "Bacterial small subunit ribosomal RNA", at positions 354 to 796 of the family's 1533-position model. The record is from RNAcentral.